CACGAACCGUACGAACGUUAUUGGGAAUUACUGGGCUGAAAGAGUGCGUAGGCGGCGCGGAAAGUUGGGUGUGAAAUCCCUCUGCUCAACCGAGGAACUGCGCUCAAAACUGCCGUGCUUGAGGGAGACAGAGGUGAGCGGAACUGAUGGUGGAGCGGUGAAAUGCGUUGAUAUCAUCAGGAACACCAGUGGCGAAGGCGGCUCACUGGGUCUCUUCUGACGCUGAGGGACGAAAGCUAGGGGAGCGAACGGG
This 253-nucleotide unclassified non-coding RNA is filed under the name uncultured Pirellulaceae bacterium. Its description in RNAcentral is "contains 16S-23S intergenic spacer region". It matches the Rfam family "Bacterial small subunit ribosomal RNA", at positions 524 to 776 of the family's 1533-position model. Lineage: Bacteria; Pseudomonadati; Planctomycetota; Planctomycetia; Pirellulales; Pirellulaceae. The record is from RNAcentral.